UCAUCUGACUCGGAGAGGCUAUCCGGAUUGGGGCCAUUAUUCUACGAAGAAGACCUCCUCGCCGAUGACACCGAGGGUGAGGAGAUCGAAGAGGCGGACGUGGAUGUCACGAUGGUGGAGGUAAAACGGACAGAUUCUGAUGAAGCUGAUCCAGAUCAACCUCCACCACUCUAAACUCGCGUCUGCGAACCUUGAGGUCCGCCUGGCUGCCGGUGGACUCGACGUUGCCCUCAUCCAGGAACCGUGGAUACACGGCAAUAAAAUCUGCGGACUUGGGAUGAAGGGCUUUAAGCUUAUUGCCGCACAAAAUGCAGCUUAGUGACGGCGAUCUGGUAGUGGCAAGCAUUGAGCUGGACAAAACCAGCUUUUGGGUAGCCUCUGCCUACAUGGCCCAUGACAAGGA
Rhagoletis pomonella (apple maggot) is the source of this 403-nucleotide long non-coding RNA. RefSeq lists it as uncharacterized. The record is from RefSeq and is a predicted model, not a curated record. The transcript is spliced from 2 exons. Lineage: Eukaryota; Metazoa; Arthropoda; Insecta; Diptera; Tephritidae.